AUAUGUAUAUAUAGAGUUUUGCUAGAAUACUAUCGGUAGUAAACGGCUUGGUUUGCUAUCGAUUUGUUUUCGAUGAUAGAGCUUCCAAAUUGAUGAUCGGCACCGUUAAACAUGAUCUAAACUAUUUAAACUAUCUGGAAAUCAAAUUUCACAUAUUUUCGAUAUCGUUCUCUUGUCCAUCAAGUGAAUAGAAAAAUGAAUGGCUGAAAAUGAAUAUCCUUCAAAAAGUGAUGAUACAAUUUUUAUAUUUGAGAUCUAGAGUCUAGAUCUUAUUUUUUAUAGUUUUAAAAAAAUUUUAACAAAAAUUUAGUUGAUUUGAACUCUUCUAUACCGUUAAACUAGUUAACGCACCAUAUCAGCCAUUAAAAUUAUAGAUUUUGUGACCCUUUGAUCGUUCAGUUAGUGAUGCCAAAAAAUCAUGAAAUUUGAUUUCUAGAUAAUUUAAAUGGUUUAGAUCAUGUUCAACGGUGCCAAUCAUCGAUUUGAAAACUCUAUCAUCAAAAACAAAUCGGUAGUAAACCGAGCAGUUUACUACCGAUAGUAGCCCAGUCAAACUCUCUCUCUCUCUCUAUAUAUAUAUAUACAGCUAGGCUCCUAUACUUUCGAAAGUACGGAAGACUCCGUAUUUGUAAAUUAUUUUCAAUAAUGGGACAUCCGAUUCGGCGAUCGGUUCCGUUAGACAUGAUCUACGCUAUUAGAACUAUCUAGAAACCAAAUUUCAUAAUUUUUUGAUUUCGUUUGUCUAGUAAACGAGUAGUCUCAAAAUAAACGGCUGAAAAUGAAAAUCUCAUAAAAAACAGUGAUAAAGAACUCAAAUUUCAAAUCGGAAGUAUUGGUCUUGCUAUUGAUGUUAAGUAAAUUUUUUUAUUAAAUUUUCAUCUAAUUUGGAUACUUCUACACCGUUGAACUUAAAAACAUGCCACAUCGGCCAUUAAAAUAGUCAUUUUGAGACCUUUUGAUCGCUUGAUAAAUGAUGUAAAAAAAUUAUAAAAUUUGGUUUCUAAAUAGUUCUAAUAGGGUAGAUUAUACUUAACGAAGUCGAUCGUCGAAUCAGAUUUUCUAUUAUCGAAAACAACUUACAAGCACGGAGAUCUCCGUAUUUUCGAAAGUACAGGAGUAU
Molecule: long non-coding RNA, 1120 nt
Filed under: Ananas comosus (pineapple)
Lineage: Eukaryota; Viridiplantae; Streptophyta; Magnoliopsida; Poales; Bromeliaceae
Description: long non-coding RNA (ACOM_LNC020630)
Source: RNAcentral